AUUGAACGCUGGCGGCAUGCCUUACACAUGCAAGUCGAACGGCAGCACGGGAGCAAUCCUGGUGGCGAGUGGCGAACGGGUGAGUAAUAUAUCGGAACGUGCCCAGUCGUGGGGGAUAACGUAGCGAAAGCUACGCUAAUACCGCAUACGAUCUAUGGAUGAAAGCGGGGGAUCGCAAGACCUCGCGCGAUUGGAGCGGCCGAUAUCAGAUUAGGUAGUUGGUGAGGUAAAGGCUCACCAAGCCGACGAUCUGUAGCUGGUCUGAGAGGACGACCAGCCACACUGGGACUGAGACACGGCCCAGACUCCUACGGAGGCAGCAGUGGGGAAUUUUGGACAAUGGGCGCAAGCCUGAUCCAGCAAUGCCGCGUGCAGGAUG
Molecule: ribosomal RNA, 379 nt
Filed under: uncultured bacterium
Lineage: Bacteria
Description: bacterial SSU rRNA
Rfam family: Bacterial small subunit ribosomal RNA
Source: RNAcentral